UGCAGUCGAGCGGCCGUACCAUACGGCAGCGGCAGACGGGAGAGUAACACGUGGGAACGCGCCCUUCGGUUCGGGAUAACUCAGGGAAACUUGAGCUAAUACCGGAUACGCCCUUACGGGGAAAGAUUUAUUGCCGAAGGAACGGCCCGCGUCCGAUUAGCUUGUUGGUGAGGUAACGGCUCACCAAGGCGACGAUCGGUAGCUGGUCUGAGAGGAUGACCAGCCUCACUGGGACUGAGACACGGCCCAGACUCCUACGGGAGGCAGCAGUGGG
RNAcentral lists this ribosomal RNA (274 nucleotides) under uncultured Hyphomicrobiales bacterium. RNAcentral describes it as "uncultured Rhizobiales bacterium partial 16S ribosomal RNA". It matches the Rfam family "Bacterial small subunit ribosomal RNA", at positions 56 to 358 of the family's 1533-position model. The record is from RNAcentral. Lineage: Bacteria; Pseudomonadati; Pseudomonadota; Alphaproteobacteria; Hyphomicrobiales.